AUUGAACGCUGGCGGUAUGCUUAACACAUGCAAGUCGAACGCUGAAGGGUGCUUGCACCUGGAUGAGUGGCGGACGGGUGAGUAAUGCAUAGGAAUCUGCCUAUUAGUGGGGGACAACGUGGGGAAACUCACGCUAAUACCGCGUACGUCCUGAGGGAGAAAGCGGGGGAUCUUUGGACCUCGCGCGAUUGGAGCGGCCGAUGUCGGAUUAGCUAGUAGGUGAGGUAAAGGCUCACCUAGGCGACGAUCCGUAGCGGGUCUGAGAGGAUGAUCCGACACACUGGGACUGAGACACGGCCCAGACUCCUACGGGAGGCAGCAGUGGGGAAUUUUGGACAAUGGGGGCAACCCUGAUCCAGCCAUGCCGCGUGAGUGAAGAAGGCCUCGGUUGUAAGACUCUUCGGUCCGGGAACGGAAAGUACGUAGGUCGUC
This 432-nucleotide ribosomal RNA is filed under the name uncultured bacterium. Its description in RNAcentral is "bacterial SSU rRNA". It matches the Rfam family "Bacterial small subunit ribosomal RNA", at positions 30 to 466 of the family's 1533-position model. The record is from RNAcentral.